UCCUGCUGGGAUAGCUCAGUCAGUAGAGCAUGAGGCUCUUAAUCUCAGGUUUGAGGGUUCAAGUCCCACGUUGGGGAA
Molecule: non-coding RNA, 78 nt
Organism: Podarcis lilfordi (Lilford's wall lizard)
Lineage: Eukaryota; Metazoa; Chordata; Lepidosauria; Squamata; Lacertidae
Source: the annotation of a GenBank genome assembly